GAUGAACGCUGGCGGCGUGCCUAAUACAUGCAAGUCGAGCGAACGGACGAGAGGCUUGCUUCUCUGAUGUUAGCGGCGGACGGGUGAGUAACACGUGGAUAACCUGCCUAUAAGACUGGGAUAACUUCGGAAAACCGGAGCUAAUACCGGAUAAUAUUUUGAACCGCAUGGUUCAAAAGUGAAAGACGGUCUUGCUGUCACUUAUAGAUGGAUCCGCGCUGCAUUAGCUAGUUGGUAAGGUAACGGCUUACCAAGGCAACGAUGCAUAGCCGACCUGAGAGGGUGAUCGGCCACACUGGAACUGAGACACGGUCCAGACUCCUACGGGAGGCAGCAGUAGGGAAUCUUCCGCAAUGGGCGAAAGCCUGACGGAGCAACGCCGCGUGAGUGAUGAAGGUCUUCGGAUCGUAAAACUCUGUUAUUAGGGAAGAACAUAUGUGUAAGUAACUGUGCACAUCUUGACGGUACCUAAUCAGAAAGCCACGGCUAACUACGUG
RNAcentral lists this ribosomal RNA (497 nucleotides) under uncultured bacterium. Its description in RNAcentral is "partial 16S ribosomal RNA". It matches the Rfam family "Bacterial small subunit ribosomal RNA", at positions 28 to 507 of the family's 1533-position model. The record is from RNAcentral.